RNAcentral lists this long non-coding RNA (780 nucleotides) under Elaeis guineensis (African oil palm). RNAcentral's name for it is "long non-coding RNA (EGUI_LNC078851)". The record is from RNAcentral. Lineage: Eukaryota; Viridiplantae; Streptophyta; Magnoliopsida; Arecales; Arecaceae.
GGCCUGUCUGCAAUAGGAAUCCGAAAGGAAUUCAUCCACAAUGGACGCUCGGGUGAAGGCUUACAGUGGGAAUCCGGCACGGACCGCUCGUGAUAGAAAUUUGAAGUAGAUCGUUUGUAGCGAAAGCUCGGAGUGGGUCGCUUGCAGCAGAAGCUCGGAGUCUGGCCUUUGUAGGAGUUCGACGUGAGGUCUACCUGCAACAAGAGUUCAGGGCAGAAGUUCGGCUCCCGUAGGAGCUCGGACGAGGUCUACCUGUUCGGGGAAGAAGCUCGGCUCCCGUAGGAGUCUGGAUAAAAUCUACCUACUGUCGAAGUUCAGGGAAGAGGUCCGGCUCCCGUAGGAGCCCGGACGAAGGCUACCUGAGUUCGGGGAAGAGGUCCGACUCCCGUAGGAGUCCAGACGAAGGCUAGAAGGUGGUCAACCAUCGUAGAAACUUGGAUGGAAUCCGUCUGUCAUGGAGAAUCUGGUUGACACUGAUAGGGGUUUAUCCGUCGGCAUAACUUGGGAAUGUUGCGGAGGCUCAACUGCCGGAGAGAUUCGGAAAGAUGUCAUCGAAAGUCGGAUAUCGGUAGAAUCCCUGGAGGGUCACUCCUGACACGAACUUUGAUUGGGGGGUAUUUUAUACCCAACACUAGUCUCCCUACUUCUGAGUUUAAAUUUCGAAUGAAGGAAGUACAGAGAAAUUUUCACAGCUGAAGUUGCCCUCUCGAAUCCUGCGUGCGACCAUCCUCGGAAAUCCUGGCAUUUAAUGCGCGCGUGCUGAAGUCUUUUCAAAUCGGG